This 205-nucleotide ribosomal RNA is filed under the name uncultured bacterium. RNAcentral's name for it is "partial 16S ribosomal RNA". It matches the Rfam family "Bacterial small subunit ribosomal RNA", at positions 129 to 334 of the family's 1533-position model. The record is from RNAcentral.
CCCUCAACAGGAGGAUAGCUCCCCGAAAGGGGAAUUAACACUCCAUAAGAUCACGAAAGGGCAUCCGAUUGUGAUUAAAACUCCGGUGGUUGAGGAUGAGCAUGCGGAUGAUUAGCUAGUUGGCGGUGUAACGGACCACCAAGGCGAUGAUCAAUAGGGGAACUGAGAGGUUUAUCCCCCACACUGGCACUGAGAUACGGGCCAG